Molecule: ribosomal RNA, 253 nt
Filed under: uncultured bacterium
Lineage: Bacteria
Description: partial 16S ribosomal RNA
Rfam family: Bacterial small subunit ribosomal RNA
Source: RNAcentral
UACGAAGGGGGCUAGCGUUGUUCGGAAUUACUGGGCGUAAAGGGCGCGUAGGCGGAGAGUUAAGUCAGGGGUGAAAUGCCGAGGCUCAACCUUGGAAUGGCCUUUGAUACUGGCUGUCUGGAGAUCGGGAGAGGUGAGUGGAAUUCCGAGUGUAGAGGUGAAAUUCGUAGAUAUUCGGAGGAACACCAGAAGCGAAGGCGGCUCACUGGCCCGAUACUGACGCUGAGGCGCGAAAGCGUGGGGAGCAAACAGG